This is a long non-coding RNA of Sorghum bicolor (sorghum), 363 nucleotides long. RefSeq lists it as uncharacterized. The record is from RefSeq and is a predicted model, not a curated record. The transcript has 3 exons. Lineage: Eukaryota; Viridiplantae; Streptophyta; Magnoliopsida; Poales; Poaceae.
CACAUGAAGCCCAACGGCGCCGCUCCAGACACGAACACGAUGACGCGAGGGCUGCCGCAGCCGCCGCCGCCGUUGCAACCUCGAUGAGCGGCUCUUCCCAUGCCGCAGACAUCGCCACGGGCGACUCCGCCAUCGGCCCCCGCCACGGCCCCCCUACACCCCGGCGCUGUUGGGACCUUCCCCGGCAAUGAGCAGCCAGCAGAUUGUAGUACCCAUGAUGACAUAGCUGGAUGUAUUAUGGGAGAUGAAGAUGAUGAUGAGAUCUAACUCAGGCUGCAAGGCAGCGCGGGCUUGCGGCCGCCGCAACAACGCCGCACGCGCACGCGGAUGGAAACGGGCCGCCGUAUAAGCCCGUGUACGAUG